This 201-nucleotide long non-coding RNA is filed under the name Homo sapiens (human). RNAcentral describes it as "HSALNT0274673". The record is from RNAcentral. Lineage: Eukaryota; Metazoa; Chordata; Mammalia; Primates; Hominidae.
ACAGGCACUCUCCUGCACACACACACACACACUCAGACACACAGGCACUCUCCUGCACACACACACUCACACACUCAGACACAGGCACUCUCCUGCACACACACACACUCACUCACACACAGACACACAGGCACUCUCCUGCACACACUCACACUCAGACAAGCACUCUCCUGCACACACUCACACUCACACUCAGACACA